Molecule: non-coding RNA, 24 nt
Filed under: Arabidopsis thaliana (thale cress)
Lineage: Eukaryota; Viridiplantae; Streptophyta; Magnoliopsida; Brassicales; Brassicaceae
Source: RNAcentral
UUAUUACCGGUGUGGUUUAGCUGC